UGAAAUCUGCAGGAGGAGGUAAAAUAAAGUUUGAUAAGUGCAUAGCAACUCCUAUGUUUAUGCCUCGUUUGUCCAGGAUUGGUCGGAUUCUUGGUCCGCGUGGGUUGAUGCCAAACCCCAAGUUAGGAUCUGUGACAAAUGAUGUCUCUGCUGCUGUAAAGGCGGCAAAAUGUGGACGUGUAGAUUUUAAAAUUGAUAAAACUGUUAUUGUCCAUGUAGGCCUUGG
Phalaenopsis equestris is the source of this 226-nucleotide long non-coding RNA. RefSeq lists it as uncharacterized. The record is from RefSeq and is a predicted model, not a curated record. The transcript has 3 exons. Lineage: Eukaryota; Viridiplantae; Streptophyta; Magnoliopsida; Asparagales; Orchidaceae.